Molecule: long non-coding RNA, 485 nt
Filed under: Apteryx rowi (Okarito brown kiwi)
Lineage: Eukaryota; Metazoa; Chordata; Aves; Apterygiformes; Apterygidae
Description: lncRNA (ENSARWG00000003736.1)
Source: RNAcentral
ACACUUCUAUUAACCUGUUUUGGUGCUUGUAGAAAGUAAGGAACUGUCUAACAUUCUGGAAAUCAGCAAAGUUGCUCAAGGAUUUAAGGUCAUCUCCUGUGUGGUGAUAAGGGCUUCUGGCUGUUGCUAUUGCUGUACAGGGCAGCUCUGACUCUGAGCAGGAAAGUCUAGGCAAGAUAGAGGAUGUGAUGGCCUUUGAGCUCUUCCCCCCCCACCGCCCCGAGCCUGGAAGAAGAGAGCCAUUUACACAAGUAUCAGGAAGAGACAAGCCCACAGAGCUGAAAUUCCUUGUUAAGGUGGUUGUCGGAGAACGGAUGCAGAAAAUGGAAGUGUGGAACAAAGUCAUGAGCCUGAUGAGAAAUAGAAAUAUCAGAGAGCCUCAAAUCAAAGGAAGAGUUCUGAUUUUCUUACACAGAAACCAUUUGCUUUUCUCUGCCUUGGCAAAAUACAACUUGUUCAUUAUAUUGUGUGAGCCUUUGAUAUAA